GACGAACGCUGGCGGCGUGCCUAAUACAUGCAAGUAGAACGCUGAAGGAGGAGCUUGCUUCUCCGGAUGAGUUGCGAACGGGUGAGUAACGCGUAGGUAACCUGCCUGGUAGCGGGGGAUAACUAUUGGAAACGAUAGCUAAUACCGCAUAACAGUAGAUAUCGCAUGAUAUCUGCUUGAAAGGUGCAAUUGCAUCACUACCAGAUGGACCUGCGUUGUAUUAGCUAGUUGGUGAGGUAACGGCUCACCAAGGCGACGAUACAUAGCCGACCUGAGAGGGUGAUCGGCCACACUGGGACUGAGACACGGCCCAGACUCCUACGGGAGGCAGCAGUAGGGAAUCUUCGGCAAUGGACGGAAGUCUGACCGAGCGACGCCGCGUGAGUGAAGAAGGUUUUCGGAUCGUAAAGCUCUGUUGUAAGAGAAGAACGAGUGUGAGAGUGGAAAGUUCACACUGUGACGGUAUCUUACCAGAAAGGGACGGCUAACUACGUG
This 495-nucleotide ribosomal RNA is filed under the name uncultured bacterium. RNAcentral describes it as "partial 16S ribosomal RNA". It matches the Rfam family "Bacterial small subunit ribosomal RNA", at positions 28 to 507 of the family's 1533-position model. The record is from RNAcentral.